CCAUUGAGGUGAAAUAAAAACAUUUUAACCAUUUAAAACCCAUACUCAUAAAGCCUUGAAAUAUUAUAAUAAAUGAGGGCUUAAUCCCAAAAUAUUUCUUUUAAAGUCCAUCAAUAAAUUUAAAUAAAAGAACGGACUUCAUUUAAAAUAAAUAGUCCCAACUUUCAAUAUUAAAAUUUAAAUCAAGAGAUUUAAAUUCACUAAAAUAAUUUAGUGAAAAUUCAAACAUUUUUAAAAGAAAUAAGGCCAAAAUUUCGUAGGCCCUAUUAUUCAAAUGACAGCCCAAAAUUAAUUAAAUUUGAGCCCAUAACAAAAAAAUUAAAUGCCCAACAGAAUUUAUAGCAAAUUUGGGUCCAGCAGAAAUAAUUAAAAUCGGCCCAACAACUAUAAAAAUUUGGCCCAAUGGGAAAGAAAAUGGGCUUGAGCCCCAAUUAACCCUAACCUUAAUACAUACAAACACAUUACACACACACAACUUACACGCCUCUCUCUCUACUCUCUCCCUCUCGGCUCCCUCUCUCGUCUCUCCCUCUCUGUUCGGCUGAGGGCGGCGCCGCCUCCGGCGCGCCUCCUCGCCGUCGCCUCCUCCCCUCCCUUCUCACUCCCUCGGUCUCACUCUCUAUCUCUGAUCUCUCUCGUCGGAACUGCUGUACGCCUCCGCCUCCGCCUCCGCCUCCGCCUCCGCCUCCGCCAUGGCAGAACACGGCUCUCACCGGUUGCCAUCGUUUCUUGGCCGUUCUCGGCCCUAAAACAGGUCGGCAGAGGUCACUCCUCCACUGCAUGUGCCGUCUUCGACCGUUUGAGAAGCCGAGCGUCGCCGCGCCGCUUCCCCUGUCCUCCACCGUGGCAGGAAAGAUAAGUCCGUCCUU
RNAcentral lists this long non-coding RNA (869 nucleotides) under Salvia miltiorrhiza (redroot sage). RNAcentral's name for it is "long non-coding RNA (SMIL_LNC004088)". Lineage: Eukaryota; Viridiplantae; Streptophyta; Magnoliopsida; Lamiales; Lamiaceae. The record is from RNAcentral.